GACGAACGCUGGCGGUGUGCUUAACACAUGCAAGUGGUGCGACGAACCAGAGCUUGCUCUGGGGCAAAGCCGCGAACGGGUGAGUAACACGUGGGUAAUCUACCCCGAUGACCGGGACAACCCGAGGAAACUCGGGCUAAUACCGGAUGUGGUACGGAGACAUAAGUCUCUUUACUAAAGGUAGCUUCGGCUUCCGCAUUGGGAGGGGCCCGCGGCCCAUUAGCUAGUUGGUGGGGUCAAGGCCUACCAAGGCAACGAUGGGUAGCUGGUCUGAGAGGACGAUCAGCCACACUGGGACUGAGACACGGCCCAGACUCCUACGGGAGGCAGCAGUGGGGAAUCUUGCGCAAUGCGCGAAAGCGUGACGCAGCAACACCGCGUGAGGGAAGACGGCCUUAGGGUUGUAAACCUCUUUCAGAUGGGACGAAGGUGAUGCGGUGAAUAGCCGAUGUCAUUGACAGUACCGUCAGAAGAAGCUCCGGCUAACUACGUGCCAGCAGCCGCGGUAA
RNAcentral lists this ribosomal RNA (509 nucleotides) under uncultured bacterium. Its description in RNAcentral is "bacterial SSU rRNA". It matches the Rfam family "Bacterial small subunit ribosomal RNA", at positions 28 to 523 of the family's 1533-position model. The record is from RNAcentral.